RNAcentral lists this transfer RNA (71 nucleotides) under Candidatus Hodgkinia cicadicola. RNAcentral's name for it is "tRNA-Pro". It matches the Rfam family "tRNA". Rfam says of the family: Transfer RNA (tRNA) molecules are approximately 80 nucleotides in length. Their secondary structure includes four short double-helical elements and three loops (D, anti-codon, and T loops). Lineage: Bacteria; Pseudomonadati; Pseudomonadota; Alphaproteobacteria; Hyphomicrobiales. The record is from RNAcentral.
CGGAGCAUGUUGUAGCGGAAGCAUUUUUGGUUUGGGGCCAAAAGGCGAAAGUUCGAGCCUUUCUGUUCCGA